This 503-nucleotide ribosomal RNA is filed under the name uncultured bacterium. RNAcentral's name for it is "partial 16S ribosomal RNA". It matches the Rfam family "Bacterial small subunit ribosomal RNA", at positions 30 to 523 of the family's 1533-position model. The record is from RNAcentral.
AUUGAACGCUGGCGGCAGGCUUAACACAUGCAAGUCGAGCGGGGUGAUGGUGCUUGCACUAUCACUUAGCGGCGGACGGGUGAGUAAUGCUUAGGAAUCUGCCUAUUAGUGGGGGACAACAUCUCGAAAGGGAUGCUAAUACCGCAUACGUCCUACGGGAGGAAGCAGGGGAUCACUUGUGACCUUGCGCUAAUAGAUGAGCCUAAGUCGGAUUAGCUAGUUGGUGGGGUAAAGGCCUACCAAGGCGACGAUCUGUAGCGGGUCUAAGGGGAUGAUCCGCCACACUGGGACUGAGACACGGCCCAGACUCCUACGGGAGGCAGCAGUGGGGAAUAUUGGACAAUGGGGGGAACCCUGAUCCAGCCAUGCCGCGUGUGUGAAGAAGGCCUUAUGGUUGUAAAGCACUUUAAGCGAGGAGGAGGCUCUUUUGGUUAAUACCCAAGAUGAGUGGACGUUACUCGCAGAAUAAGCACCGGCUAACUCUGUGCCAGCCGCCGCGGUAA